CAGCCGCCGCGGUAAUACGUAGGUGGCAAGCGUUGUCCGGAAUUAUUGGGCGUAAAGCGCGCGCAGGCGGAUCAGUCAGUCUGUCUUAAAAGUUCGGGGCUUAACCCCGUGAGGGGAUGGAAACUGCUGAUCUAGAGUAUCGGAGAGGAAAGUGGAAUUCCUAGUGUAGCGGUGAAAUGCGUAGAUAUUAGGAAGAACACCAGUGGCGAAGGCGACUUUCUGGACGAAAACUGACGCUGAGGCGCGAAAGCCAGGGGAGCGAACGGGAUUAGAUACCCCUGUAGUCCCUGUCUCUUAUACA
Molecule: ribosomal RNA, 301 nt
Filed under: uncultured bacterium
Lineage: Bacteria
Description: partial 16S ribosomal RNA
Rfam family: Bacterial small subunit ribosomal RNA
Source: RNAcentral